GUGCUUCAGCAGCACAUAUACUAAAACUGGAACAAUACAGAGAACAUUAGUAUGGUCCCCACACAAGGUGACAUGUAAAUUCAUGAAGCAGCCCAUAUUUUU
This 102-nucleotide small nuclear RNA is filed under the name Vulpes vulpes (red fox). The record is from RNAcentral. Lineage: Eukaryota; Metazoa; Chordata; Mammalia; Carnivora; Canidae.